UACGGGAGGGGCAAGCGUUAUCCGGAAUCACUGGGCGUAAAGCGUCUGUAGGUGGUUUAAUAAGUCAACUGUUAAAUCUUGAGGCUCAACUUCAAAAUCGCAGUCGAAACUAUUAGACUAGAGUAUAGUAGGGGUAAAGGGAAUUUCCAGUGGAGCGGUGAAAUGCGUAGAGAUUGGAAAGAACACCAAUGGCGAAGGCACUUUACUGGGCUAUUACUAACACUCAGAGACGAAAGCUAGGGUAGCAAAUGGG
This 253-nucleotide ribosomal RNA is filed under the name uncultured bacterium. RNAcentral's name for it is "partial 16S ribosomal RNA". It matches the Rfam family "Bacterial small subunit ribosomal RNA", at positions 524 to 776 of the family's 1533-position model. The record is from RNAcentral.